UCGAGAAUAAUUCACAAUGGGGGCAACCCUGAUGGUGCAACGCCGCGUGGAGGAUGACGGUCUUCGGAUUGUAAACUCCUGUCAUCCGGGAGUAAGACCUGGGGGUUAACAGCUCACAGGGUUGAUAGUACCGGAAGAGGAAGGGACGGCUAACUUCGUGCCAGCAGCCGCGGUAAUACGAAGGUCCCGAGCGUUGUUCGGAAUCACUGGGCGUAAAGGGAGCGUAGGCGGCGUGGUAAGUCAGAUGUGAAAUCCCGGGGCUCAACCCCGGAACUGCAUCCGAUACUGCCGUGCUUAGAGGGUUGGAGAGGUAGCUGGAAUUCUUGGUGUAGCAGUGAAAUGCGUGGAUAUCAAGAGGAACACUCGUGGCGAAAGCGAGCUACUGGACAACACCUGACGCUGAGGCUCGAAGGCCAGGGUAGCGAAAG
RNAcentral lists this ribosomal RNA (428 nucleotides) under uncultured Verrucomicrobiaceae bacterium. RNAcentral's name for it is "bacterial SSU rRNA". It matches the Rfam family "Bacterial small subunit ribosomal RNA", at positions 355 to 774 of the family's 1533-position model. Lineage: Bacteria; Pseudomonadati; Verrucomicrobiota; Verrucomicrobiia; Verrucomicrobiales; Verrucomicrobiaceae. The record is from RNAcentral.